This 801-nucleotide long non-coding RNA is filed under the name Apteryx owenii (little spotted kiwi). RNAcentral describes it as "lncRNA (ENSAOWG00000012200.1)". The record is from RNAcentral. Lineage: Eukaryota; Metazoa; Chordata; Aves; Apterygiformes; Apterygidae.
GGGUGGAUGGGAGGRGCUGGGACUUCACUAACCUGAUUAACCAGGUUAGAAACCAACCUUGCAAAAAUCGAAGCCAUCGCUGCAACCUCCCCCCACCCUCCGAGGGCAGGACUGGUCCCGGGUGGAUGUGAGAGGACGAGCUGGGUUGGAAAUCACCCCCCGACCUCGUGUCGCCCCCCUGCUCUCAUCCUGCAUCCCCGCGCGGCGCAGAGAGGAGCCCGGAGCAGCGGCGAGGUGGGAUGCGACUCUCCCUCGGCGGGCACCGUGCCUCCGGCUCCCRGGAGCGGGCUUGAAGACGUGCGUGAGUGGCAGGAACAGCGGGAACGGCGGGCGGCAGGCGGCGGCGGCGGGCGACGACAAGCACCUGCGGGUCCCCGCCAUCAUCGUCACGCCGCCCACCCCCACGGGCACGACGCUGGUGCGGGAGCCCCGGCGAGCUGGCGCCGAGCCGCCGUGCAGCGGGAGCUGAGCACCGCGCCGGGAUCAGGGACGCCGGGGGCAGGCGACCAGCCCGCCGGGACCUUUCCCACGGCCGGCGCUCCGCCAGGAUGGAGCCGGCAGCCCCGCGGUGCGAGCCGGGAUCGUCCGGGGUGAAGAGGUCCCGGGAGCACGGCGAUGCCCCGGGCGGCACGGGGAAACCGCAGCGUUUCCCAAAAGCGGAUGAGCACCUUUAAAACGGGUCGUUUCCGAGCAGGCUGGGACAUUGAGGACUGUUUUUUUCCUCCUCUUUUCUAAACACACUGCAAAGGGGUUUCCAAAGCGCGGCUCUUUGGCAGUGAAUAAAGCGCUCAGCGCCGUGCA